CUACGGAAAAUUAUCUGUAUUUUUAUAAAAAUAUAGAAUCUAUAAAUACAAAACUUUAAAAAUUUAUAUUCUAUUCCAAAUUCUUUUGUUUAAAAAAUAAAAGAAUUUUAGUCAUUCUUUUUAACUCAUUUCCUCCUUGUUUAGUUUUAAUUAAUAUAUUUUAGUCAAUAUAUUUUUUUAAUUUUUUAUCUUCAAUUUUUUAAUUUAUUUUUGCAUAGUUACUAAAAUAGUGCUAUAUAGUUCUGUAAAAAUAAACUUUUUAUAGACGCAAUCAAGUUAAUAGAUAUAAAUUUUAACCCUGUUUAUUAAAAAUUGGAUUAUGUACCUAGUUUUGAGAGCUCUAUUGUUCUCAAAAUUUGUCUAAAUGACAAAAUUUUAGUUCUUUCAAAACUGAAUAGUAACAAUUUUUUUGAUUUUUCGAUCAAAAAAUAUUCCAAUAAUCUUUUAAAAAUUAAACCGAGUUUAUUUUUUUCAUAACUUUUUUAAAGUUAUGAUUAAGAUUAUUUCAAAAUUGUUAAAAUACCUUAAGAUAUAUUAUCUAAAAUAGGCUAUACUCAAAAGAAUAGUUUUGACUUUUUAAAUAAUUAAGAGUAUUUGGUGGAUGCCUUGGGUCUGAAAGUCGAUGAAGGACGUGAUUACCUGCGAUAAGCUUCGUGGAGUUG
RNAcentral lists this unclassified non-coding RNA (662 nucleotides) under Mesomycoplasma dispar. RNAcentral describes it as "Mycoplasma dispar 16S-23S ribosomal RNA intergenic spacer". The stretch from base 575 to 662 matches the Rfam family "Bacterial large subunit ribosomal RNA", at positions 1 to 88 of the family's 2925-position model. Lineage: Bacteria; Bacillati; Mycoplasmatota; Mycoplasmoidales; Metamycoplasmataceae. The record is from RNAcentral.